UACGUAGGGAGCAAGCGUUGUCCGGAAUCAUUGGGCGUAAAGCGCGCGUAGGUGGCUCUAUAAGUCCGUUGUGAAAGUCAAAGGCUCAACCUUUGAAAGCCGAUGGAUACUGUAAAGCUAGAGUCCGGAAGAGGAGAGUGGAAUUCCUGGUGUAGCGGUGAAAUGCGCAGAUAUCAGGAGGAACACCCGUGGCGAAAGCGGCUCUCUGGGACGGUACUGACGCUGAGACGCGAAAGCGUGGGGAGCAAACAGG
This 253-nucleotide ribosomal RNA is filed under the name uncultured bacterium. RNAcentral describes it as "partial 16S ribosomal RNA". It matches the Rfam family "Bacterial small subunit ribosomal RNA", at positions 524 to 776 of the family's 1533-position model. The record is from RNAcentral.